CAGCAGCCGCGGGAAAACGAAGGGGGCUAGCGUCGUUCGGAUUUACUGGGCGUAAAGCGCACGUAGGCGGAUCGAUCAGUCAGGGGUGAAAUCCCAGAGCUCAACUCUGGAACUGCCUUCGAUACUGUCGAUCUGGAGUAUGGAAGAGGUGAGUGGAAUUCCGAGUGUAGAGGUGAAAUUCGUAGAUAUUCGGAGGAACACCAGUGGCGAAGGCGGCUCACUGGUCCAUUACUGACGCUGAGGUGCGAAAGCGUGGGGAGCAAACAGGAUUAGAUACCCCUGUAGUCCCUGUCUCUUAUAC
This 301-nucleotide ribosomal RNA is filed under the name uncultured bacterium. RNAcentral's name for it is "partial 16S ribosomal RNA". It matches the Rfam family "Bacterial small subunit ribosomal RNA", at positions 509 to 807 of the family's 1533-position model. The record is from RNAcentral.